This 391-nucleotide ribosomal RNA is filed under the name Salmonella enterica. RNAcentral describes it as "bacterial SSU rRNA". It matches the Rfam family "Bacterial small subunit ribosomal RNA", at positions 1 to 388 of the family's 1533-position model. The record is from RNAcentral. Lineage: Bacteria; Pseudomonadati; Pseudomonadota; Gammaproteobacteria; Enterobacterales; Enterobacteriaceae. RNAcentral also lists the same sequence under 1 other name.
AAAUUGAAGAGUUUGAUCAUGGCUCAGAUUGAACGCUGGCGGCAGGCCUAACACAUGCAAGUCGAACGGUAACAGGAAGCAGCUUGCUGCUUUGCUGACGAGUGGCGGACGGGUGAGUAAUGUCUGGGAAACUGCCUGAUGGAGGGGGAUAACUACUGGAAACGGUGGCUAAUACCGCAUAACGUCGCAAGACCAAAGAGGGGGACCUUCGGGCCUCUUGCCAUCAGAUGUGCCCAGAUGGGAUUAGCUUGUUGGUGAGGUAACGGCUCACCAAGGCGACGAUCCCUAGCUGGUCUGAGAGGAUGACUAGCCACACUGGAACUGAGACACGGUCCAGACUCCUACGGGAGGCAGCAGUGGGGAAUAUUGCACAAUGGGCGCAAGCCUGAUG